Molecule: ribosomal RNA, 502 nt
Filed under: uncultured bacterium
Lineage: Bacteria
Description: partial 16S ribosomal RNA
Rfam family: Bacterial small subunit ribosomal RNA
Source: RNAcentral
GACGAACGCUGGCGGCGUGCCUAAUACAUGCCAGUCGAACGAACCGCGACUAGGUGCUUGCACUUGGUCAAGGUGAGUGGCGAACGGGUGAGUAACACGUGGGUAACCUACCUCAUAGUGGGGGAUAACAGUCGGAAACGACUGCUAAUACCGCAUAGGACAUAGGAUCACAUGAUCCAGUGAGGAAAGGUGGCGCAAGCUAUCGCUAAGAGAUGGACCCGCGGUGCAUUAGCUAGUUGGUAGGGUAAAGGCCUACCAAGGCGAUGAUGCAUAGCCGACCUGAGAGGGUGAUCGGCCACAUUGGGACUGAGACACGGCCCAAACUCCUACGGGAGGCAGCAGUAGGGAAUCUUCCGCAAUGGACGCAAGUCUGACGGAGCAACGCCGCGUGAGUGAAGAAGGUCUUCGGAUCGUAAAGCUCUGUUGUUAGAGAAGAACAGCGCAUAGAGUAACUGUUAUGCGUGUGACGGUAACUAACCAGAAAGCCACGGCUAACUACGUG